AAGCAUCCCAGAGUCCAGUCAGCAGACAGCAGAAGAGACUGUCAGCAGACCACCUUGGAGGGGAUGCUUGGAGCUGCCUAACGUGUGAUUCAAAGAUGAAUUCCAUGUGUUUGGAGAAGAAGCCCUAGCCUCAACACAAAGGUUGGCCACAUUCCAGCCAAGGUAGCACGGAGUGAAGGCCCGUGGAGGGAGAGCUGGGCUUUUCUGAACUACUUCAGUACACCUUGCUGUGCCUUGGCCUGCCGUGUUUCAUCCCCAUGGCUGUCCUCAGUGAUGUGCAUGGUCACUGCUCCCUUCACCACUGAGAAGACGGGCACAGGACAGUCAGGGGAUGUGUCCAAGGUCCCACAGCAGGAAGGGCUGGAGCCAGAAUGUGGUCUGAGAGGCUGGAUAUACAAAGAGACAAUGGCAUGACCAUCUGUACAAAUGGAACUAUGGCCCACAACCUGCAGCAGCCAGCCCAGGAAGCCAACCCGUCACCUGCAGCAGCCAGGAUGGAUGCUGGCCUGCCCUCACUGAUACUCAAGUCUAGUUUUAUAUGGCUCCAAACGCCUCCACCAUGAGCUCAAGGCAGUGAGACUGACUGAAAAACCCUCUCUAUUACAGACCACAACAUUGAACCCAACAUCCCCCUAAGUAGGUUGUACUCACAUCAUUGGUCUUAUGGGGAAAUUUUAAGACCUCCCACUUGUAAGGUUUUAUAGCCCUCUAUGGAAUAUUGAAGAAAGAGUAAAAUGCAUCCAAAAAAAAAAAAAAACACUAAACUGGAUAAAUUCUAAGGCCUCUUCAGGUCUUAAGAUGGCCAUUUUCUAGGUCCUCUUGCUGCAGCAGUGAAAUCCACAAACACGGACAAGUCAGUCAGUUACGUGCCUUUCAGAGAAAACUUCUGACUUAGGAAUUCCAGCUAUUUGGCCCAACCCAUAUUAGAUUGUGUUAUAAAGACAUGGUAAAUUACAUCACGAAGGGAAGAGCAGAGGAAACAUAAUAUUCCUUCAAGACCCAUCAGCUCAGAUGUUAGCAGAACACCCCUAAGGAGGAAAACAAGAAAUUUUGGGUUUGAACUUGGUACUUCCCAGCAGCCCUGGGAGUGGGGUCAGAAGCCCUGCUGGGGGCCAAAGAACUCUGAGGAUCAAAGAUGUUGAGCAUCACCUUAGAGGCCAAAGAUCAGAACAGUGGAGGUGGCCUUUGAAGCCCAACCUGUCUUUCACCAGAGAGUGAGAACGGCCUCUAUUUCCAGGAAGCUCACUGCAGCAAUAAUCAUGAUGCUCUGAGCCUGACAAGGUGAGAAUUUACUUUCAGCACCUGCAAUAGUUUCCUAUUAAAGUUACAUAUGAAACCCUGCCGUCUUGUACCAACUAAUGUUCACACCAGCGUUCCUAUUUUCAAGAUAAAUUGCAAAAUAAAAACUCUUGUUUUCGUUAGCAAAAGAAAACUUCUUUAGGAGGAUAAAAGGGAGAUGAAGAAACAGAAAACACAUCAGCUCUCCAUCCAGAUUACAGAAAGCAGAAAACAUCCUGAAGUGAAUAACAUAGGAAUCGCUCUUUUUCCCCCCUGAGAUAGCAGGUUACUUAUGAGAAACAAGCUUGAAAUCUCUGCACCUGGACCAGCUUCCAGAGGCUUUUGUCCUGACCAGGUGAGAGGGGAAAAAAAAAAAAAAAAAAAAAAAAAAAA
Molecule: long non-coding RNA, 1671 nt
Organism: Homo sapiens (human)
Lineage: Eukaryota; Metazoa; Chordata; Mammalia; Primates; Hominidae
Product: long intergenic non-protein coding RNA 1304
Source: Ensembl